Molecule: long non-coding RNA, 322 nt
Filed under: Citrus x clementina
Lineage: Eukaryota; Viridiplantae; Streptophyta; Magnoliopsida; Sapindales; Rutaceae
Description: Citrus clementina (C. clementina) long non-coding RNA (CCLE_LNC002122)
Source: RNAcentral
GGGGCCGAAACCGGCAAAACGUGUCAAACGGCCCCGAUCUUACCCAUUUUUCGGCGAUCAAACCGCCGCACGGCUACCCCCCCAUCUCGAUGCCCCCGGACCGCUGGUCCCGUGGGACCAAACGGAAACGGAAUCGGAGGCCCGGAUCAUGAGUUACGGCCGAAACCGGCAAAGCCUACUAAGCGGCCCCCGAUCUUGCCCAUUUUUCGCCGUUCAAACUGCCGCGUGGCUACCCCCCCAUCCCGAUGCCCCCGGACCGCUGGUCCCGUGGGACGAAACGGAAACGGAAUCGGGGGCCCCGAUCAUGAGUUACGACCCCUUC